RNAcentral lists this ribosomal RNA (374 nucleotides) under uncultured bacterium. Its description in RNAcentral is "bacterial SSU rRNA". It matches the Rfam family "Bacterial small subunit ribosomal RNA", at positions 525 to 896 of the family's 1533-position model. The record is from RNAcentral.
ACGUAGGAGGCGAGCGUUGUCCGGAAUUACUGGGCGUAAAGAGCGCGUAGGCGGCGCAGCACGAUCGGUGUGAAAGCCCCCGGCCCAACCGGGGAGGGUCAUCGAUAACGGCUGUGCUCUGAGUGCAGGAGAGGGGAGUGGAACUCCGGGAGUAGCGGUGAAAUGCGUAGAUACCCGGAGGAACACCAGUGGCGAAGGCGGCUCCCUGGCCUGCGACUGACGCUGAGGCGCGAAAGCUGGGGGAGCGAACGGGAUUAGAUACCCCGGUAGUCCCAGCCGUAAACGAUGGACACUAGGUGUACGCGGUAUCGACCCCGCGUGUGCCGGCGCUAACGCAGUAAGUGUCCCGCCUGGGGAGUACGGCCGCAAGGCUA